Molecule: ribosomal RNA, 484 nt
Filed under: uncultured bacterium
Lineage: Bacteria
Description: partial 16S ribosomal RNA
Rfam family: Bacterial small subunit ribosomal RNA
Source: RNAcentral
AUUGAACGCUGGCGGCAGGCCUAACACAUGCAAGUCGAGCGGAUGAAGGGAGCUUGCUCCUGGAUUCAGCGGCGGACGGGUGAGUAAUGCCUAGGAAUCUGCCUGGUAGUGGGGGAUAACGUCCUGAAACGGGCGCUAAUACCGCAUACGUCCUGAGGGAGAAAGUGGGGGAUCUUCGGACCUCACGCUAUCAGAUGAGCCUAGGUCGGAUUAGCUAGUUGGUGGGGUAAAGGCCUACCAAGGCGACGAUCCGUAACUGGUCUGAGAGGAUGAUCAGUCACACUGGAACUGAGACACGGUCCAGACUCCUACGGGAGGCAGCAGUGGGGAAUAUUGGACAAUGGGCGAAAACCUGAUCCAGCCAUGCCGCGUGUGUGAAGAAGGUCCUCGGAUUGUAAAGCACUUUAAGUUGGGAGGAAGGGCAGUAAGUUAAUACCUUGCUGUUUUGACGUUACCAACAGAAUAAGCACCGGCUAACUUCGUG